AUCAGUCUCAAGGAAAUGAAUAGUCAGAAAAAGAGAUGGGUCAGUUAUGUAGUGAGAGUAAGUGAUAGUAGAUGGACAGCAUAAGAACAACUCUGUUCCCCACAAAAAGUUCAAAAGAUCUAGAAGAGCAUCCCUAGCCUGUGAAGGAUGUAAGAAAGAACAUGGGCAAACACACUACACAGUAAGAGAAAAAAUACUCUUGUCUGUGUCCUCUCUCUGAGCCUCCAUAGAGGCUUGCUGGCCUUUCAGGUAUAUUCUGGCCUGCCCUAGUGAAGCAUAAAUCCAUUCGUUUAUUGCAAUAUUAUUUUCCACAUAAGUAAUUUUUGAUGCUUGAAUUCCCUCCCUCAUCUCUGCUUCCUGGUUUCCUUCAAGAAUUAGUUAAAAUCCUACCUUCUGUCCCUUUUAAUACUAUUCCCUUUCUUUUCUUAUCUCCAAUAUACCCUGUCUAUAUCUUGUUUGUAUGUUAUUUCAUGUUGUCUCAUUAGACUGUGAGCUUCUCAAACACAGGUAUUUUUCUGUUUUGUUGUCUUUGUAUCCCCAACAAUUAGCAUAGUGCCUUAGAUAUAGUAAGUGCUUAAUAAAAUGUUUACUGACUCAUACAAACAACUAGGAGUAAGUAAGCAAGAUUAUGAAUGUGUUUGUAAACCUAGGCUACUAAACCAAUAGCAUACAAUGUUCUCUAAUUAGAUUCAACAAGUAUCUACUGUCCAAAGCAUUGUGCUAAGUAUAAAAGAAUAAUUUAGGUAGCUUUGAGUCAGUGAAGCAGGUGAAAGGUAAGCAGUUAGAAGAAAGAGAAAUAAAAGAAUUAUUAAGUUAUUUGCCUCUGGUAAUUGAAAGGUGACUAGAAAAGAUCCUCUAAUUUCAAGUAUCUCAACUGGCUAAAGAGGAUGGAUCUCUCCUCACUAUAGAGAAGAGCAAGAAUCAUGAAAAGGGAAUGAAGAGGGACCAGAAAAAUCAUAACUAAUUAGACAGAAGAGAUAGUAAGCAGAAAAGUAGAAUAGAGGAAUAGAGAAGGGAAAGAAUGGAAGGAAGCAUGUAUCUCCAUUAGUGAGGAAUUCUUUAGGAUAGAAAAGAGAAGAAGAGAAAUAAAUACUAAGGCAUAUUGGGCAAAGGAAUGGACAACAGAAUGUUAUGAAAUUAUAGCAAAUGAAAAUUAAAUCUAAUCCAGUUAUAGAAAGGGAAAGGAGAAGACAUGAAAUCCUAAGGACUCUUUUCCUUUAGAAAAACUUAUAGCAAAACCUUGGCAUACUGAACAUUGGAGUUGGAGGAGAUACGAGACCCCAUUUAAUUAAACCUGCUCAUUUUAAAUAUGAGAAAACUGAAACUCAUGGAGUAGAAACUAACUUAAGGUUACCCAAC
This 1359-nucleotide long non-coding RNA is filed under the name Sarcophilus harrisii (Tasmanian devil). Its description in RNAcentral is "lncRNA (ENSSHAG00000030051.1)". Lineage: Eukaryota; Metazoa; Chordata; Mammalia; Dasyuromorphia; Dasyuridae. The record is from RNAcentral.